GCAUAGUACUGAUCUAAACAAACAAAAGGGAACUAAAUUAAUUAGAUAAUUAAAUAUUGCAAAUAUAUAAGUGAAAGAUAAAGAGAAAUAUGAUGAUGACUCGAGUGGAAGUGUUCGAAAAAAGAUGAGAAUGAUUAUUGGAAUGCCCAAAAAGAAAAAGGAAAAAAAAAAGGAAAGGAAUACGAAACAUCUGCUUUUGUCGAAAGAGCGCAACGAACCACGACACAUACUGGGCCUACGUGGUAUUUAUUAACAUGGGUGGGACGAAGAGGGCAUCGCAAGUGAAGGGCCUGUAGAGAGGGAAGAGAGAGGGGUCGAUGCUGCCAAACGAAUGGAACGCCGGAAUGAAGGGGGCCGAUAUAGCGAGGAGCCAACGGCGGCAGCUGCCGGCCGGUAAAACGAGAAACAGAAAUGGGGAGCCACCGGUUGCCGGCUGUACGAACACGGCAGGCUUCUCCACGCGCACGCCACGCGACAUCGAUGGCCGGCCUCCGGUUCGCUCGUGCGGAAGAUGUAAAAGAGGAAGGGAAGAAUACUCAAAGAAAGGAAGCAACUUCAUUAUACUCGUAAUCUUUUGUACCCGCAGGUAAAACACACGAGGAUAUUUUUGAACUAAAAGAAAAAUAAUAUUUUAACGAUCGAGUUACAUAAAAAAAAAUAAAUCAUAAAUUUUACAUAAUAUUUAAAUAUAUUCUAUAAUAAUAUAAAUAAUAAAUAUAUCCAAUAUAUAAAAUUUCAUAUUUAACGAAAUACGUAUAUUAAAAAAGCAGACAAAUUGCUCGUUAAAUUGAGUUAAAUUCUCUACUUAAGGUAGACGAUGGACAACUGUUCUUUUUCAUAAAAAAAAAUUGUGAUGCGAUGUAUGUAUAUAAUUUCUUGUACUUAAAAGGUUUCAUUAAUAUUACCGUUACAAAAUUCUUCUUUUACAUGUUUGAACAAUUGGUAAUACGAUAUCAAAUGUAAACGUAGAACGUAAGUAGUAAGAGAGAAGAAGAAGGGUGUUAUAACCGAGGCACGCGCUUCAAGGGUUCGAUGAAAGAAAAUGAGAAGAGAAAAAAGAAUGGUGCGUGCUUGUGCAUUAUAACUACCAACUCGGUCGGUCCAUAUACGUAUGUUAGUGUACAUAUAUAUAUAUAUAUAUGGAUAUUAUAUAUAUAUAUAUAUAUAUAUAUAUAUGAUUUAAGUUGUAUAUAUGUGUGAAUGAACGGCAUACCCGAUAUGCUAAACACGAAUCCUUCUGCCACGCGCCGUGUGCUUGCUCAACUGUAGGAGAUCCCUACUACCUACAGCCCAAUGGCACACGACAGACUGCAAAUGCAUCUCUCAGGCAUCUUUAGGAACAUUGAUACCCUUAUAAAAUGCGUUUCGCACAGGGCGGGUUCGUUCGCUAUACAAAUCAACAUCUUUCUCGAUUGUCAGCUGGUAAGCAAGUUUUCACAAAAACGUUUCUUUUUUUUUCUUUUUCUACCUGCUCAAAAUAGUUCACAUUUUUCACAUUUUUUCCUCAAAAAAAAAAAAAAAAAAAUAAAAGAAAAAAGAAAAUACUACAUCUACGAUCAAUCGAUUGAUAUAUCGAAAUUAUAAUCUCUUUUAAUUUAAUCAUCCCUUAAAGACAUUUUAUUAAAUUUGUUUUACAAUUUUACUACAGAUUGUUGUUGGUAAAUCUCUGUUUCUUGUUUAUAUUUUUUUUUUAGUGGAGAGGGACGAGGCGGGGUGAUGGCAGGGGCCUGGAAGGGAAGAGUGUUUUCAUUUUGUUUUUUUUUAUAUAUAUAUAUCUAUAUUGUUUUUCUUUCUUUUCUUUUUUCUUCUUCUUUUUCUUCUUCUUAUUUUUUACAUAUAAGUUUUUCUUAAUGCGAAUUUGAAAUGAGCGUAUCGCAAUAUACUUCGUUCUUCUAAAUUUCUAUCACGAAUUCAACAACGUAUAUAUAUAUAUAUAUAUAUAUAUAUAUAUAUAUAUAUAUAUAUAUAUAUAUAUAUAUAUAUAUAUAUAUAUAAUAAUAUAUAUAUAUAUAUAUUACUGCGCUUUCGAAUUUACUUGAGCUCUUGAAGCUCGGGGGAAAAUGUUUUCUUACAAAAAUUUAUGUAUUGACUAAUAACAAUAUACAUAUAUUUAAAAACAA
Vespa crabro (European hornet) is the source of this 2120-nucleotide long non-coding RNA. RefSeq lists it as uncharacterized. The transcript has 2 exons. NCBI's taxonomy places the organism in Eukaryota, Metazoa, Arthropoda, Insecta, Hymenoptera, Vespidae. The record is from RefSeq and is a predicted model, not a curated record.